GGGGCUGUAGCUCAGCUGGGAGAGCACAAGGCUGGCAGUCUUGGGGUCAGGGGUUCGAGCCCCCUCAGCUCCACCA
This 76-nucleotide transfer RNA is filed under the name Candidatus Rokubacteria bacterium GWA2_70_23. RNAcentral's name for it is "tRNA-Ala". It matches the Rfam family "tRNA". Rfam says of the family: Transfer RNA (tRNA) molecules are approximately 80 nucleotides in length. Their secondary structure includes four short double-helical elements and three loops (D, anti-codon, and T loops). The record is from RNAcentral. RNAcentral also lists the same sequence under 6 other names. Lineage: Bacteria; Candidatus Rokuibacteriota.